This 158-nucleotide ribosomal RNA is filed under the name Aspergillus penicillioides. RNAcentral describes it as "5.8S ribosomal RNA". It matches the Rfam family "5.8S ribosomal RNA". Rfam says of the family: 5.8S ribosomal RNA (5.8S rRNA) is a component of the large subunit of the eukaryotic ribosome. It is transcribed by RNA polymerase I as part of the 45S precursor that also contains 18S and 28S rRNA. Functionally, it is thought that 5.8S rRNA may be involved in ribosome translocation. The record is from RNAcentral. Lineage: Eukaryota; Fungi; Ascomycota; Eurotiomycetes; Eurotiales; Aspergillaceae.
AACUUUCAACAACGGAUCUCUUGGUUCCGGCAUCGAUGAAGAACGCAGCGAAAUGCGAUACGUAAUGUGAAUUGCAGAAUUCAGUGAAUCAUCGAGUCUUUGAACGCACAUUGCGCCCCCUGGUAUUCCGGGGGGCAUGCCUGUCCGAGCGUCAUUGC